AACGAACGCUGUCGGCAGGCCUAACACAUGCAAGUCGAACGCCCCGCAAGGGGAGUGGCAGACGGGUGAGUAACACGUGGGAACCUUCCCUAUAGUACGGAAUAGCCCAGGGAAACUUGGAGUAAUACCGUAUACGCCCGAAAGGGGAAAGAAUUUCGCUAUAGGAUGGGCCCGCGUAGGAUUAGCUAGUUGGUGAGGUAAUGGCUCACCAAGGCGACGAUCCUUAGCUGGUUUGAGAGAACGACCAGCCACACUGGGACUGAGACACGGCCCAGACUCCUACGGGAGGCAGCAGUGGGGAAUAUUGGACAAUGGGCGCAAGCCUGAUCCAGCCAUGCCGCGUGAGUGAUGAAGGCCUUAGGGUUGUAAAGCUCUUUUGGCGGGGACGAUAAUGACGGUACCCGCAGAAUAAGUCCCGGCUAACUUCGU
Molecule: ribosomal RNA, 429 nt
Filed under: uncultured bacterium
Lineage: Bacteria
Description: partial 16S ribosomal RNA
Rfam family: Bacterial small subunit ribosomal RNA
Source: RNAcentral